Molecule: ribosomal RNA, 409 nt
Filed under: Actinomycetes bacterium
Lineage: Bacteria; Bacillati; Actinomycetota; Actinomycetes
Description: Actinobacteria bacterium partial 16S ribosomal RNA
Rfam family: Bacterial small subunit ribosomal RNA
Source: RNAcentral
UGGGGAAUAUUGCACAAUGGGCGGAAGCCUGAUGCAGCGACGCCGCGUGGGGGAUGAAGGCCUUCGGGUUGUAAACUCCUUUCGACAGGGACGAAGCUUUUGUGACGGUACCUGUAUAAGAAGCACCGGCUAACUACGUGCCAGCAGCCGCGGUAAUACGUAGGGUGCGAGCGUUGUCCGGAAUUACUGGGCGUAAAGAGCUCGUAGGUGGUUUGUCGCGUCGUCUGUGAAAUUCCGGGGCUUAACUCCGGGCGUGCAGGCGAUACGGGCUGACUUGAGUGCUGUAGGGGAGACUGGAAUUCCUGGUGUAGCGGUGAAAUGCGCAGAUAUCAGGAGGAACACCGAUGGCGAAGGAAGGUCUCUGGGCAGUAACUGACGCUGAGGAGCGAAAGCAUGGGUAGCGAACAGG